RNAcentral lists this ribosomal RNA (492 nucleotides) under uncultured bacterium. Its description in RNAcentral is "partial 16S ribosomal RNA". It matches the Rfam family "Bacterial small subunit ribosomal RNA", at positions 29 to 507 of the family's 1533-position model. The record is from RNAcentral.
AGUGAACGCUGGCGGUAUGCCUAACACAUGCAAGUCGAACGGCAGCACAGUAAGUUCUUUCUCUUACGGUUUGCGAGUGUCGUACGUUUGAUGUAUACAUCGUAAUCUACUUUUUCGUGUGUGUUAUCGUAGGUAAACUUACGCUACUACCUCAUACGUCCUACGGGUGUAAUCAUUGUUUCUUCUGACCUUUCGCGAUUGUAUGAGCCGAUGUCGGAUUAGCUAGUUGGCGGGGUAAAGGCCCACCAAGGCGACUAUCCGUAGCUGGUCUGAGAGGAUGAUCAGAAAAACUGGAACUGAGACACGGUCAAGACUACUAAGGGAGGCAGAAGUGGGGAAUAUUGGACAAUGGGCGCAAGCCUGAUACAGCAAUACCGCGUGGGUGAAGAAGGAAUUAGGGUUGUAAAGCCAUUUUGUUGGGAAAGAAAAGAAGCAGGUUAAUAAGCAGCUGUUAUGACGGUACCCAAAGAAAAAGCACCGGCUAACUUCGUG